RNAcentral lists this ribosomal RNA (335 nucleotides) under uncultured soil bacterium. RNAcentral's name for it is "bacterial SSU rRNA". It matches the Rfam family "Bacterial small subunit ribosomal RNA", at positions 26 to 363 of the family's 1533-position model. The record is from RNAcentral.
AGGACGAACGCUGGCGGCGUGCUUAACACAUGCAAGUCGAGCGGUAAGGCCCUUUCGGGGGUACACGAGCGGCGAACGGGUGAGUAACACGUGAGCAAUCUGCCCUUCACUUCGGGAUAAGCCUCGGAAACGGGGUCUAAUACCGGAUAUGACUGCGCCGUGCAUGUGGUGUGGUGGAAAGUUCUGGCGGUGAGGGAUGAGCUCGCGGCCUAUCAGCUUGUUGGUGGGGUAAUGGCCUACCAAGGCUUCGACGGGUAGCCGGCCUGAGAGGGUGACCGGCCACACUGGGACUGAGACACGGCCCAGACUCCUACGGGAGGCAGCAGUGGGGAAUA